CCUACGGGAGGCAGCAGUCGAGAAUCAUUCACAAUGGGGGAAACCCUGAUGGUGCGACGCCGCGUGGGGGAAUGAAGGUCUUCGGAUUGUAAACCCCUGUCAUGUGGGAGCAAAUUAAAAAGAUAGUACCACAAGAGGAAGAGACGGCUAACUCUGUGCCAGCAGCCGCGGUAAUACAGAGGUCUCAAGCGUUGUUCGGAAUCACUGGGCGUAAGGCGUGCGUAGGCUGUUUCGUAAGUCGUGUGUGAAAGGCGCGGGCUCAACCCGCGGACGGCACAUGAUACUGCGAGACUAGAGUAAUGGAGGGGGAACCGGAAUUCCCGGUGUAGCAGUGAAAUGCGUAGAUAUCGAGAGGAACACUCGUGGCGAAGGCGGGUUCCUGGACAUUAACUGACGCUGAGGCACGAAGGCCAGGGGAGCGAAAGGGAUUAGAUACCCCUGUAGUC
Molecule: ribosomal RNA, 446 nt
Filed under: uncultured bacterium
Lineage: Bacteria
Description: partial 16S ribosomal RNA
Rfam family: Bacterial small subunit ribosomal RNA
Source: RNAcentral